This 138-nucleotide small nucleolar RNA is filed under the name Ornithorhynchus anatinus (platypus). Lineage: Eukaryota; Metazoa; Chordata; Mammalia; Monotremata; Ornithorhynchidae. The record is from RNAcentral.
CCCCUCUCAGGGUCGCACCUGGAGAGUUUCCAGUCCUCUACCAGUCACGACUACGGGAGGGAGAGUCAAGCAGAGGCCUACCCGUUCCAUUCCUAGCUUGGCCAGCGGCUAGCGAGCGGAAGGCAAUCGGCCACGAGU